CUCUGUGACUCCUACGGGAGGCAGCAGUGGGGAAUAUUGCACAAUGGGGGAAACCCUGAUGCAGCCAUGCCGCGUGUGUGAAGAAGGCUUCGGGUUGUAAAGCACUUUCAGUAGGGAGGAAGGUAGUGUAGUUAACACCUGCAUUAUUUGACGUUACCUACAGAAGAAGCACCGGCUAACUCCGUGCCAGCAGCCGCGGUAAUACGGAGGGUGCGAGCGUUAAUCGGAAUUACUGGGCGUAAAGCGCAUGCAGGCGGCCUGUUAAGUCAGAUGUGAAAGCCCGGGGCUUAACCUCGGAAUUGCAUUUGAAACUGGCAGGCUAGAGUCUUGUAGAGGGGGUAGAAUUUCAGGUGUAGCGGUGAAAUGCGUAGAGAUCUGAAGGAAUACCGGUGGCGAAGGCGGCCCCCUGGACAGAUACUGACACUCAGAUGCGAAAGCGUGGGUAGCGAACAGGAUUAGAUACCCUGGUAG
This 471-nucleotide ribosomal RNA is filed under the name uncultured bacterium. Its description in RNAcentral is "bacterial SSU rRNA". It matches the Rfam family "Bacterial small subunit ribosomal RNA", at positions 328 to 793 of the family's 1533-position model. The record is from RNAcentral.